This 235-nucleotide unclassified non-coding RNA is filed under the name Glomus sp. RNAcentral describes it as "partial contains 5.8S ribosomal RNA and internal transcribed spacer 2". The stretch from base 1 to 65 matches the Rfam family "5.8S ribosomal RNA", at positions 84 to 154 of the family's 154-position model. The record is from RNAcentral. Lineage: Eukaryota; Fungi; Glomeromycota; Glomeromycetes; Glomerales; Glomeraceae.
GUGAAUCAUCGAAUUUUUGAACGCAAAUUGCACUCUCUUCGGAGAGUGUGCCUGUGUGAGGGUCAGAAUAUAAAAAAUCGACAUCGUGGCUAUUUCGCGGUGGGGUUCGUCGGAAAUGGGGUCAUCUUAAAUCCGUGUGAUUUAAGAGACUUAAAAUUUUCUUUUGGUUCCAUGAACGUGUCGAAGAUAUAUUUCUUUACACGAUUAAGGUAUCGAUUUUCACUAGAUGGGACGA